Gasterosteus aculeatus aculeatus (three-spined stickleback) is the source of this 11196-nucleotide long non-coding RNA. The record is from Ensembl. NCBI's taxonomy places the organism in Eukaryota, Metazoa, Chordata, Actinopteri, Perciformes, Gasterosteidae.
AAAACCGGAGCAAUAAACACAUUUAUUAACUUGUAUGCACAGACAUUUUUAUUCAAUAUACGAACCAAUUUAACUGUAACCUUAAAGAUUUUAUAAAAUAUGUCCAAGCUAGAGUAGCUGAAUCUCACCACACUCAUCGUCCUCCUUCAGCUUGAUGCUGCUUCCUCCUGCUCCAUAAAACAAAACUAAGUUAGUCACACCACAAAACAAAAGGACCAAAGCAAGCAAGUUCAGUUUCUUUGUUUAUUUAUUCUCAGGUCGACGAAUUGAGACCUAGCUAGAGUAACUCAAGUACCCCAACAUGAAAAUACUGGCUGUGAUGUAAUAGCAAUCUGGGGGGUAGGUCUCAGAUGGCCUUGGGGAGUCUGCUUUUUUCUCGAUGCAGUCAAAGUUGUACUUCAUUGAUUAAAGCGUGAAAGGGAACAGCUUCUAAAUUCUAAAUUGUCUGAUUAGUGGCUCUCACCCAGUCAGACACUUAUCUCCACGUGUAAUGUCAGUACUGACCGUCCAAUGGAGUAAUACAUGUUCAGAAUGAUUAGCAUGAGCCAUGACGAUGUGCCUCUUCCUAACAUUCUCAUCCUUUCAAGCAAGUAUCAGGAACUCUUUGGGUGUCUUUCCUUUGUGGAGUCGAUGAUAAGCCACACCUAAGGGGCAGGAGUCGACAGAAGGCCAUUCACAACCACUUGAUUUAACAUUUCAGUUCCUCUGAUCUUCUGAGCAUUGGAGAUGAGUGGGGGUGGGGGUUGCCUUUCCAUCAUUGCCACUGCAGCUCUGAAGGAUCAUAUUUUAAUAUAGAAAAUAAUUACAUUGUGAAACAGCCAGUACAUUAGCACCACUUUUUGCAAGCUUGCUCCUGCUACAGUUUCUCGAUGAUGGAGAUAAUUACCUGCAGGCAAGCUGAUGGAUGUACAACUACAUCUAUGUAUGAAAACGUGUGGUUCAGUAGAUUAGUGUGUGUGUGGAAACUGCAUGCCUCCCUGAACGCGCGUGUGUGUGUCUGUGUGUUUUGUAGAUGCGGUGCUGUCAGUGUCAUUUAAAUAUAUCUUAGAGGCAGAGGCAUUUCCUGCAUGUUUUUGUGGUUUGGUCAAACAUUUGGUCCUUUUGGCCCAUUUCCCACAAUGUGGCUAUCCGUGGACAGACGGGGAAAAUGACGUCAAUGCGUCUCCCCUGGCUGAUAAGUAAAUCUUUCUUCAAUCCAAAACACAUUUAGCGCUCGGCUAGAGUCUUAUGUGAAUGCUCUGUUAAAUGAAUUAGUGGAAACAGUGGUAUUAUGUUGACAUUAUUUUUCUUACAUUAUUGCCAAGAUUCUUCUCUGACGUAUUGAGAGAAACCAAUUAUAUUUACUCAAAAUUGGCCCAAUUGAUCCAUAGUUACAUUUUCUUGCCACUGGGACUAGUAUUUGGUUUUAGGCAAUUUGGAUUGUGUAAUGUAUACAACCACUCGACGAUUCAAUCAUUUUGACUUCCGCGUUGACUUUAGUGAUUUUGCUGAAUCAAAUAUUUGAACCCAUCACAUAUUAUUGUAGCAGAUAACCACAUAUAACCAUACAUGUGAGAUGUAGUGGCUGAAAUAUGCUGUUGUCCCUAGUUUGAGUUAUCAUUUUAGUUUUGUUGGAAGAUUGUCACUUUUCUUUGUUAAUUAGAUAGUUGACAUUGCUUAAAUUUCAUGAACUGCUUCCAUCUAGCAAAUUGAACUAAAAAAAAAAGCGUGAUACAUAUUUAAAAACUUAUUGCAAAGAUACUUGGAGAGAGGUUUCGUGGGAAUGCCUUGUGGGAAAUCCAAUACUUCUUCACUAGCAGUCUCUUGGGUGAACAUACACAUGGAAUAAGAUGUAAGCCUUCCAUUAGCUUUUUGCAUGCUGAUGGUAGAAACCAAUGCUUGAGUCGCAGCAGUGCCAUCUGUUUCCCAGGUUUCUUGAAUAACAAAUCUGACAUGGAUUUUUAAGCCUGUUUUUACUUCUAUUGGCAUGAAUUCCAGCAAAUCCCAUGUCUAGUAACAUGGGUCACAAAAACGUGCAAAAUGCUCAUAGAAUCCCACUUCAUUCACCUCAGAGCCAUCAGGUGAUUUCAUUCCUGAAAGCUGAUCUUAAUAAUAUUUAACAUGUGACUAUCAAUGACAGUUAUAUUCCUGUUUGCUUACCAAUAAUCAUACCCUACUGUAUUUCACCAUUUAAUAUUAACUGAGUGGAAAACACCUUUUCUGUUAGGUGUUAUUCUCAAAUCUUUCAAUAAAUCCGUGAGGAAAAGGUUAAAGGUGACUGUUGUGGGGGGAGUGGUUCAGGUAACGGUGAUCGGCAAUCAUUAGGGAAAUAAACUUCUUUGCUUUCUUUCUGUUAAUGAGAUGUGUUGUGGACAAAAUCUAAAGUUUUAGACUAGCAUGGAAAUUAAGUCUUUGUCCUUUUAUGAUGAAGUCAUUUUUGGAUGCAGCCAUGAAGUAGAAGUUAUAUGUUUUCAAUUGAAUUUGGUUGAUUUGUCCUGCAGAAGCUGCAAUUAAAAUUAUAAUAUACCUAUUAUUUAUUAAGGACUCUGCAAUUGUCUUCAGGUUAUAGAAUCAGAUAUUACCAUCAGAAUGCGGCAUCCACUGGAUUAGCUUCUUUAUUUUAAAAAGGUAGUGUUAGGAAAAUUCAUACUCGUCACCGGUGUAAAAUCAUUAAACAGGGCUUUCAUUAACACAAUUUACCUCGGUGUGAAAGAGCACAGCACUUUCUGCCCUAAGUACUACUGACUAAGGUGAAACCUUAAUUAAUUAUUAGAAAGUAUUGCAGCUUUUCCAACAGUAAGUAUAGUAGUAACUAUAAAAUGCUUAGCCAGCCAUCUUAGUUCCCUGGCCUACUCUCGUAUUCAACCCUGUCUCUUUUCUUUCAUUUGUCUCUUUCUGGAUGUCCCUCCAGAUGAACAUGUCCAGAAUCAUUUACCUCCUGUUGAUUUUCUGAUGUCUGCGGCGCUCAAUACUCCAGGUAUUUCCAUUUUAAUUGACAAGUGUUACAGAUGCAUUCUGCGGUUAGCAUUGCUCAGAAAGUCUCAACAAUGAGCAAAUCAAUAACUCACAGAUCUGUUCACUUGUACAUUCAAUCAAACUGUCACAUGGAAUGGGUUCCUUUUAAGAUGGGGGUAAAAGUAUAGCCUUUGUGUGUGUGUGUCUGUCAUGCUUGCGCUUUGCUUUUACGUAGAGGCUUUCCGAAGAGGAUCAAAAGACAUAUGUGUGUCAAUUUUAUUCAUUUAAUCACUUUAAGUUUGUUCAUGCGUGAUGUUGGUGAGUCGAUGUGCUUAAAGCAGACAAGUUUAGCUCUUCAUGUGCAAGUGACCGGUUGGAUGUCUGCUUGUGGAUAUACGCAGUUUAUUCAUUUUCGCAAUGCAAUUGUUUGCAGUUGUUUGGAUGUCGGACGAUGCCAAUCACCAUCAGGCGCAGUCACAGGACUGAGGCCGAUGUCAAAGACUGUCUCUGCCGUAACCCUUCUCUUUUCCAACUAUGCGCCAUACCCGCCAACUUAUAGGAGCGCCCGUUUCACUUGUAGGGGGCAUAAAUUGCUUUUAAACAACAAACAACAAAAAACCUGUAUUAAAGUGUACAUUGAAUGGUGACCUCACGCUAUGCUAGCUAUUCAAAACCGAUAAACCCAGAACACAACAAUCCUGCCUUUCUAACUUUCCUACUCAAUAAAACUGCCUUUAUCCACAUGAUCAACAUCAGAAAGAUGCUAAAACUAAAGGUGUUCAUUUAAAAAUCGAACUGCUGCUGGAAUAAAAGACCUUCUGAGUCGUUCAGUAGAAUGAAUGAGCUUCCGAGUCCAUUAAAAACACUGUGUAGUUGGUGGCCUUCAAAAAAAGAUUGUUUUUAACUUGGCCCCUAUUAUCUUUUGUCUUGUGACCUCUAGUCUGAGGGAAGGCCAAUCACUGAACCAGCCUCCUAUUGAUCCUGUAUUUAUACCGUAUAUACACAGUUAUAUUAUGGUUUAACUGUAGAAGUAACCGAUUAAUUAAUCCAAUUCCAAAACCCAUCCCAGGGACUAGUACCGGGAAGAUUUUUCCAGAACUAAAGGAUAAAAACAAGCAGUAAUAAAAUCAAAUGAAAUCAAAUAUUAUAUACACGCGUGUUUAUAUUGUACCGGUUUUAGGGGUUUGUGGUCUUUAGUGUUUUUCAGUACAUUUGAACUAAGGAAGGACCUGCAGUACCUCUACUUCACACUGAAGCAGCUGGUGGCUGAAGGAGCUUUACAGAGCAGUCAGGUUGUCCUGCAUGGCGCGAGGGGGGUUUGCCCACCAGGGAUGAUAAUUUCACCCUCAUCCUCAUGUCUCCCAACACUUCAACCGUAUCCAGAGGACCCCAGCACACUGCGCCCGCAGAUCUACUGUUGAAUGGAAGGUGUGUUGAAGAUGAACACCCACCCCCACACUGUCCUGUGUCCACAUUUCAAAUGGCAAAUAUAAGCAUUUGUCUGUUUGGUGUGUGUGUGUCUCCACCAUUUUCAUCACUUCUUCCAUAACACAAUAAAACGGCAAGCAAAUACAUGAGCUGCAACUCAAUUGAAACUCUCAGCACACAUUUUCAUAUAUUUCCCCCCGCUGCCUUCUGAUUGUGUACUUACUCAAUAAGCGUUCUGCUGUCAUCACCUGUUAAAGUGGCAUCACUGGGUGUUGCGGAUACCUCCUUUCAUUUGAACUUGUCAUCAGUUAUUGAAUCAAACCUCCUGGACGGAUGCAAAUGCAGUGCUUUCUCCACAUCUUUCCUCAUAUCACUUUGGAAAAUGGGUUUCAUUUGAUUCCUAGUGAGUAAAUACGUUAAGGCUUUCAGCAUUAAGGCCACAGAUUUCACUCGCAACCAGGCACAGCAGGGCCAAGCAGUGAGCGUUUCAAUCCUUCUCAUCUAUAUUUGUCAUGCAAUUAAAACCGAUAUCACUAUUCACUAGACUGAUUCAACUAUACGUGCGUAUAGGUGUGUGACUACGUAAUGAAAGUGGGGUCAAUGUCAAAUACAUUUAACAUUUAUACCUCGACCCCAUUUCAUUUGUUUGGAUCCCCAUUAGCCGCUAAUCUUCCUGGGGUCGACAGACAAAAGCAAUGCAUAGAAAACAUUUAGAACAUGACGUGAAACAAACAUUUAAAAAUAGCACAAAUAGAAAAAAAUAAUAAUAACCCAUAAUAUAGUCAGAUACCUAGUGCAGUCGAGGAAUAAGAUGUAUAUUGAUUUGCAAGGAGAAAUGUUGACCCCAUUACAUUUUUUGUCAGCCAACGUUUCAUACAAAUGAAAAACAAUGCAUAAACCUAUUAAAUGUAAUCAGUGGCUCCCAAUCAUCUUAACUUUGACCCCAUACAAAACAAAACUAGUUUUUAUUUUAAGCAACGAGACAUUUUCACACUAAUUGUGUCUAAACAUUUUAGUAAUUUCUUUGUACCAGGAAGUAAAACCCUCCAAUAUUUGGAUAGUUACAGAAAAGCAUAUGUAUUUUGCUUAAAAAGGAAAACAAUGAACUCUCAAAGAAACCCAAAAUCUUAUUCUUGCAGCUUCUCUUGAGUUUAGCACAGGUAGUAGGCAUUCUUACAUUCAGCUGCAGUGCUCUUUGGGCUGGCCCGUUGUUUGGCUAGUUAAUCCGCCACUUACAUCCAAAAGGAAAUAUAUUGGAUUCAUUAGCACACACAUUUGUUAUGUAUUAGUUCUCUGGAGAUGAUUCCUAAUGUCUUUGGUUAUUCAUUUUUUUUCUAAUUUUAUUGUGAAAGGCACAGGGCAGUGCCAGGGACAAACAGCUAAUAGGGAAAAAGAAACAUUGACAAUAUUUCAUGACAAAUAAUUUCAAAUGGUGACUAAGGGCCACCUACAUUUCCAGCAUUAAACAGCAUUUAACACAAAGCUGUGCAGUUCCCUCUAGCUGCUAACAUGUACGUAACGUCACACACGUUCAUUUAUCUACUUCUGGGGCUUUACCGCUUUUGUCUAUAUUCUUCAAAAUGUACCACAAACAAACCAAGAACCUGACCUUUAUGUAACCUGUUAAAAAAUCUUUGACAUCUUCAAACUGUAUCAGAGCUGCCUUGGAUGUGGGAAACACAUGUGAUGUGAUCAAAAUGUUAAGCAGCCCCUCCCAGUCUCCUCGCAGCUCCUUGUGAUGGGUGAUUUAUCCCUCACCUCACCCUAACGAACCAAGACACUGAUUACAAGCACCCCUUCAAAGAAAAAAACGCCGGCCCUCCCAACCCAAUUUCCUCAUUCGCUGUCGAGUUGAGACCACAAAAGCGACUUCCUCUCUCUCUCCUCUCUGGCGAGCAUGCCGUCAAUAUUUAAUGGGAUGCAGCGCUGUAGAAGCUACAUGGAUGUUUAGAUUAACCAAGAGGUGCGAGGGGGCUGAUUAAGUGGGUGGCAGGUGCAUAUAAAUAAGACAUUUGGGGAUGAUAUAUCUUUUGAUUCAUGCAUAAUGUGAAGUGUUAAAACAAGUAGUGCAGAACAUGAUUAAGAAGGGUGCACUUAAAUUAUUACUUACGGCACUGGGAUUUUUUGUGAUAAUGUAAACAGGGCUGGAUAAAGGAAAAAUUACAGCCCGAUAGGCCCGAUUAACACUGUCUCAGAUAUAAGUUGGAGUAAAGAUAUUGGCUGGGUCAGCAGAAAAAAUAAACAAAUCAAUUGGAAUCAUAAGGAGGGUUAGAUAGCUUACCUCUGCAAACUGUCUCCUUGUUCUUUAUUACCUGUUUAAUUUUUCCUUAUCUUUCAUGUUGUAAUAUAGUUUGGGUCAGUACUUUUCCUACUUCUCUGGUGAUACUCCUGAAACGUUUUGUCAGGGUGGCGACACGAUCUCACUCUCACAUCUCAGCUGCUCCUUUAUUUCAGAAACAGCAGAUUCUUACUAUUUAUGACAUUAAUAUUUCUUUAACUUGCAUUUUUAUUUGUAAUAUACUUUUCGGUGAAGGAAAUAUUCCUGAUCGUCUCAAGUCCUACUUCGAAGUUAAUUCACAGUUUCCCUCAUACUCAACAAUCUUCAUCCUCCUAAAUUACUGGAAUCAGGAAUCAGGAAACAUUUAUUGCCAAAAUAUGUCAAAAUAUGUCAAACAUACAAGGAAUUUGUCUUGGCGGUUGGUGCAAGAGGUCAAUUUUCUAUUAGAUUUAGGGGAACCAAACUAAAAGAAUAUCCCUCUAUAAACAAUAUUAACAUUCCCAUUGCUUAUGAAUUACCAGUCUGUCUGCUACAGUGCUUAAGAGAAACCUGGGUUUUGUUUUAUUUUUCUCUUUUCACCUUCUCACCCAGAGCUUCAGAACUACCUUUUAAAAUUGCACCAUGUUUUUUCUUGCCAGCAGAUCAGAGCAGAGCAUUUUUUAGUGGUGGAGGAAUGGGUGGGUUACAGAGACAGGCAAUUUAACUGAUUUCUGCAGACAGAAGAUGAAUAUAUGUAUACUCAGUAGACAGUACAAGAACAAUGAUAUGUUAUGAUGUCAGAUAGAAACUCAUAAUAUAACACUGUGAAAAUGAACCUGAUAUGUCUCCUUUAAAAGAAUUGGGUAAGAAACACAAAAUCCGGUACUUUUCACCAUCUCAUUUUAGAAACUCAAAGCACAUUUACUUUUUACCUUUAUUUGUAAUGGUCUAAUAAUCUAAUAUAAGUAUAAGUAAGUAUAUAUUAACUAUAAUACUGCUUUUUCUUUUGCUUAUUAUUAUACUUGUAGCUCAGAUCAUUCUUUUCAAAGCAAAAUCUGUAACCCUGCAACACAUCCUCAGCUGGUAAUCUUUUCAAGAUUUCCCUUCCAAACGUCGGGAUAUAAAAGGGCCUGAUAAUCUCAUAGUGUGUUCCCAGCCUCAGAUGAAUAGAUGAGAUGGUCUGUGCGUCAGAUAAACGUUCCUGUAACAGAUAAAUAUGCAAUAUGUUUAUUAAUUUACAAAGUACAGGAAAAUGCUUCCACUCUUUUUUUCAUUGUUUCAUUGGAAGAAACAGACCAUGGACCCUAAAACAUUCAACAUUUCCAGGUUAGUGAAAGUAACAUUAGCCACAACGGGCAUCUACUUAUACUAUAUGUCUGUAGCAGCAAAACCCAUUAGCGUACCUAGCUGUGCAAAGGUGUGUUUUAGCGCUUCCAUAUUCAUUUUCUCAUUUGUAGGAGGAAUUCUGUGGUAUUUCUGCAAACUUCGAGCAAGUCUGUGUCUGCGUCUGACCCACCUCACACUCGGCUGUCACACUGUGGGGUAUAGCCGGUUUUGUUUUGUGUUUCCCUGCCUUUCCUGUCCCUGGAUUAACUUCACUUCCUGCCCCUGUGUGUUUUCUUUCCCUCCGUAAUUGUCCGCCUUGUCCCUGAUGUUUUUUCUCCUGUGUCCAAUCACCUUCCCCUUGUCAGUGUGGUUAAAUCAUGUGUGUCCCUUUUAAAUCCUUAAUUUACAAACAAUUUAAUAAACUGAUCGCAUUCUGUGUAGCAUUUAAAAUUUGGUGCAGAAUGACAGAUCUAGUAAUGUUACAAAUGAACUGUCCACAGUCAUCGUGGCGUAUUCCAUUGGUUUGUCGACCUCUGUUUUGAAGCCCAGAGUUUUGCCUUUGCCAUCUUGAAUUACUUUUGUUGCCACGAUAGUUUGUUCCACUCCAAAUGCUCCAUAACUUGAAGCAAGCGAUUCUCAUGUGUACAGUGUUUACAGAGGUAAUAAAUCAAGUAAGAAGUAUAGAGUCAAUGUAUUGUAGACUUCCAGAAAUUUCCUGAAAAAAGCAAGUUUUAAGAUACCAGGAGCCAAGCAACCCGUUCAAAAUGUACAUUGGCUCAGUUAAUCAAGCAAAGAUCAAAGAAAUGCAUGGUCACCUUGUAUUGCCCUGCAUUGGCAAUCAGAGAAAUAAUCAGAAAAUGAUGGACACAAAAUGUGACUGUGACGAUCCACGUUGAUCUGUUUUCUUUUCAGUGUUCUUAACCAUCAUGAUGUCUGGAAAACGCUGAUCAAAAGCAGAGCUCAAGCUCAACAAGUGGGCCAUGGGAAGAUUAGCUCUAUCAUCGAAAAAUAUAAAGUCAACUCUUGUUUGAAGCUACAGGCCAUGUGGGGCUGCCAAAGCGUUCGAUGUCCCUGUAAUGACUAUAACAGCCAAAAACAGUAAGGCUUGUAGGUUGGGUCAUUUUAAACAGCCUAGACUUUAGCACGUAACUAAGUCCGCGGGGAAAAAAGAAGUCAAGGAAACUUCCCAGAGGAAAGGCUGGAAUGAGUGAAAGAGGUACAAAUACAAUGCAGCAUAUGUUAUGUAUUCAAGGAGGAUGGCUGGUGAGACUUGUGUAGCAGAAAAUUAGUGUCACACAUUAGAAUGGACUUCCCCAAAUCUAUGCAAUAAAAAAAUGAAACUGGCCUUUCUUUUCUUCAGUGAUUAUCAAGCUUCACACAACUUGUCUAAUUCUCCCACUAUUUGCCAUUCCACAUCACCAUGCUGUAUCCUCAAAGUGAAUGUUUCAACAGACCACUUGACUGCUGUUACUACAGUGAAAUUGCACAAUUCCAUCCCAAGCACAUUGACUAAUGGCCUGUGAAUUACUGCUGCUUCUUUCUCAGCAGAAACCCGCCCAAAAAAAACCUCUUCUCUCGUUUCAGUAUUAGUCUCAUUUUGGUCAAAGGUAAUUCAACCUUUACUCGCAGAUCAUUGAACAACUUCUUUCUCGCUUGGGUAACAUUUAUUUUUGAUGAGCUUGCACUUAAGGCCGGCGCAUGCGUCUGCAUCGUUGCGUCGAUGCACUCGUUUCAAUUCAUGCUUCUAAAAAGUAUUGCGUGUGUUGCAGAGCAAUUCACCGCCAGAACAACAGGCGGAGUAACGUGUUUUUGUUGAAGACGACCUAGAGAGUCACGUCCAUUUAUUUAUUUGUUUAUUUAUUUAUCACAGACUUUAUUGCCCCGUGCAUCGCCAGUGUUGCAUUUCAUCGCGGACACAUAGGAUGUAGUUAGCGGACCAAUCGCAGCCUGGUGCGCUGCGGGAGGCUUGUGUUGCUUGCGUUACUUUCGACGCAAGCCUAGAAAAAUGGCUCGACACAUGCAAGGACGCAAGGAGGUGUGAAAAGCGACGCAAAGGACACGCAAGCCCCCCUUGCGUCUGCGUCGCUCUGAAAACGCAGAAGCAUAAAUCAGGCUUUAGUGCUGUGGUGCUCCUACUCGGCACACUUCUCAGAGGUAACCUGACAGUCCAAAACAAUGUUGAUUGGCAGAUGUUUUGGAUUGCUUUAACUGCAUUCCUUUUGAAUCUUAGCUCCUGGAUGUCUUCCUCAUCGCAAAAGUCUGUUUUUGGCAGUCAGUUAUCGUGUAUGUUAAAAAUAUGUCCCAAGUUAUUUUUUGUUUGGUCUUUUUUAGGAAAUUAGGAACAGUCACCAGACAAAAUAGAAGGUGUUGACUGUGUGCGUGACUGACUAUCUCAACAACCCCCCCAAGAAUGUCACCAUCUCCAAGACAAUCAAACUCAAUCUUUUUUUGAUGGCAGGAAUGUAUCCCUUGUUACCGUACCACAACCAAGUAAGGUAAUGGAAAAUAUCUCAGUCUUAUUGAAGACAUUUUUGGAGUGCGAUAUACAGCUGAAACAAUAUGUGCUUCGCCCCCUAUGGGGGCAUUCACGCACAAUGCACCUGGGCCUAAAUUCCUUGAUUAAUAAAAUAUGACUCAUUUCUUUUUUUUUUAAUGACAACUGUCACUGAUUAUUGGAAGAGGGUUAAUGAACAAUCCCUUUGUGAUAAAAAAAAUAAAGUGCAACCCAAGUCAAGAACCCUUCCAACUUUAAAUUCAUAACGGCUGACAUUUACACAGAAUAAUAAUACAGAAUAUAUCAUUAUCACAGUGUAUUCGGGGGAAAGAAAAUGAUCUGUACAUCUUUUCAACCUGGGCGACAUGCCUUGCAGGAUGUCACCAAAAAGACAACCCCGAAAACCCCCACCUCUGCUCUCCUCCCUCAAACUCCCUACCCUCUUACUUCUCUCUUCCUUAGCAGACCGGGGGGGGGGGAUGUGUUAUGUGUCCCCUAACCUGCUAUGUUUCAUUCUCUCACAUGGAUUUAUGAAUAUUGCGCUGCUUAGCAUAUCAAAAGACACUGAAGAAGAGCGAGAGAUAAAACAUGUUGGAAGCGCAUGGAGGAAGAAGAAGCAACAGAGCUUAUCAACACAGAGUGUCUGAGUGACAGUGGCACAGAUAAAUUCAUGGCGUGUUUAUCUGUGACUCAUCAGGGUCUUAAAUGUCUGCCACACAGGGCUCCUUUUGCGCUUCUGAGGGUCUCUGCGUUUAGG